CAGCAGCCACGGGAAUAGGAAGGGGGCUAGCGUUGCUCGGAAUGACUGGGCGUAAAGGGCGCGUAGGCGGUGCGGAUAGUCAGAUGUGAAAUUCCUGGGCUUAACCUGGGGGCUGCAUUUGAUACGUGUGGGCUAGAGUGUGAAAGAGGGUCGUGGAAUUCCCAGUGUAGAGGUGAAAUUCGUAGAUAUUGGGAAGAACACCGGUGGCGAAGGCGGCGACCUGGUUCAUGACUGACGCUGAGGCGCGAAAGCGUGGGGAGCAAACAGGAUUAGAUACCCGCGUAGUCCCUGUCUCUUAUAC
Molecule: ribosomal RNA, 301 nt
Filed under: uncultured bacterium
Lineage: Bacteria
Description: partial 16S ribosomal RNA
Rfam family: Bacterial small subunit ribosomal RNA
Source: RNAcentral